Molecule: small RNA, 623 nt
Filed under: Arabidopsis thaliana (thale cress)
Lineage: Eukaryota; Viridiplantae; Streptophyta; Magnoliopsida; Brassicales; Brassicaceae
Description: ATSL021560
Source: RNAcentral
UUUAAUUUAGUAAUUUUGUUUCAAAUAUUGCUAUACACUUUAACUAUUUAUUUGAUAAUGAUAAACUGCAUUUUAAUUCUACAUGCUCCAUACAUCGAGGCCUUAGAGGUGUUUGAAAAAAAACAGGGAUUUCAUCCAAAAGAAUGAUACCGUGGAGCUUGAUUACAUGGAAGGUUCGAUCUUCAAGGCAUUGGGGGAAGAAACCAAAGACAUGAAUCUCAAGUUCACAUAUUGGUUGGGUUCUAUUGAAUACUUUUCGAGAAUUACUUUGGGAUCAAUAUUUUCAGCAAAUCUACUCUUCAAUACGAUAGAGCAAAUUGAGUUAGACUUGUAUCACAAGUUAUCACUGCGCCAGGCAAAAAAUGGUUUGUUUCAUCUUAGACAACCUGAAUCUGACGGCUUUGCUUCUUCUGAAUUCAACCCGAACCAUCCCUGCUAGCAUAAAAACAAGUUCGGGCAGUGAAUCAGGGAAAUUGAAGAAAUGAAGCAUAUAAUCGAAACUUCAGAGACAAGAAUCCCUCUUUCCAAAAACUAAUUUUAGAAAAAUUAAGAAAAUACGAUAUCUAAUCAGUUCAGGUUUUAACUUUUAAGUUGCAUGUUAGGCUGUAUUUCUUUCAUGAUUA